ACCGGAAGCGGGGUUCUCUCGGUGGUGGCUGUGUCACCCUGUUACCGUUUUAACUUAGAUACUUUCUUCACUACCGAAGACGGAUCAGCGCUCUGUUACGAUGCUCUGUGUUCAGGAUUUAAUAGGCAGCCCUGUGGAGAAGCCUAGGUGGAGGGGAACUGAGGCCUCCUGCCAACAGCCAGCAUCAACCUGCCAGCUAUGUGAGUGAGCUAUCUUGGAGAUGGAUGGUCCAGCCCCAGUGAAACCUUCAGAUAACUGCAGCCCCAGGUGGCAUUGAUUGCAACCUCAUGAAAAACACUGAGCAGACCUGCCCUGCCAAGCUGCCCCAGAAUUCCUGACCCAGAGAAACCAUGAGCUAUUAACCUGUAACCAGACGCUGGUUGGUGGGGGAGAACCCGCCUCCGGCGAAGAUGCAGCCCGCGGGGCCAGUUCUCUGGCCAUUCCCAAGACCUUGAAGGGACACCAGGUCAGAAGCAGGGUUCGCUUCCUUUCACUCACCGCUACCGCCUUCCUUCCGAUUGGCUGAUCCGCGACAACACAGACAAUACUGGUCGCUGAUUGGCCAGGAUAUUGCCAGGACAGCCAAACUGCAGACUCCUAACAGGCUAACGAGGUCCCGGUGGAGGGCAG
Long non-coding RNA from Aethalodelphis obliquidens (Pacific white-sided dolphin), 630 nucleotides. RefSeq lists it as uncharacterized. NCBI's taxonomy places the organism in Eukaryota, Metazoa, Chordata, Mammalia, Artiodactyla, Delphinidae. The record is from RefSeq and is a predicted model, not a curated record. The transcript is spliced from 3 exons.